RNAcentral lists this ribosomal RNA (477 nucleotides) under uncultured organism. Its description in RNAcentral is "partial 16S ribosomal RNA". It matches the Rfam family "Bacterial small subunit ribosomal RNA", at positions 332 to 800 of the family's 1533-position model. The record is from RNAcentral.
UACACUCCUGCGGGAGGCAGCAGUGGGGAAUAUUGCACAAUGGGCGCAAGCCUGAUGCAGCCAUGCCGCGUGUAUGAAGAAGGCCUUCGGGUUGUAAAGUACUUUCAGCGGGGAGGAAGGCGAUAAGGUUAAUAACCUUGUCGAUUGACGUUACCCGCAGAAGAAGCACCGGCUAACUCCGUGCCAGCAGCCGCGGUAAUACGGAGGGUGCAAGCGUUAAUCGGAAUUACUGGGCGUAAAGCGCACGCAGGCGGUCUGUCAAGUCGGAUGUGAAAUCCCCGGGCUCAACCUGGGAACUGCAUUCGAAACUGGCAGGCUAGAGUCUUGUAGAGGGGGGUAGAAUUCCAGGUGUAGCGGUGAAAUGCGUAGAGAUCUGGAGGAAUACCGGUGGCGAAGGCGGCCCCCUGGACAAAGACUGACGCUCAGGUGCGAAAGCGUGGGGAGCAAACAGGAUUAGAAACCCCAGUAGUCCCAUGA